AUUGAACGCUGGCGGCAGGCUUAACACAUGCAAGUCGAGCGGGGUGAUGGUGCUUGCACUAUCACUUAGCGGCGGACGGGUGAGUAAUGCUUAGGAAUCUGCCUAUUAGUGGGGGACAACAUCUCGAAAGGGAUGCUAAUACCGCAUACGUCCUACGGGAGAAAGCAGGGGAUCACUUGUGACCUUGCGCUAAUAGAUGAGCCUAGGUCGGAUUAGCUAGUUGGUGGGGUAAAGGCCUACCAAGGCGACGAUCUGUAGCGGGUCUGAGAGGAUGAUCGGCCACACUGGGACUGAGACACGGGCCAGACUCCUACGGGAGGCAGCAGUGGGGAAUAUUGGACAAUGGGGGGAACCCUGAUCCAGCCAUGCCGCGUGUGUGAAGAAGGCCUUAUGGUUGUAAAGCACUUUAAGCGAGGAGGAGGCUCUUUUGGUUAAUACCCAAGAUGAGUGGACGUUACUCGCAGAAUAAGCACCGGCUAACUCUGUGCCAGCAGCCGCCGUAA
Molecule: ribosomal RNA, 503 nt
Filed under: uncultured bacterium
Lineage: Bacteria
Description: partial 16S ribosomal RNA
Rfam family: Bacterial small subunit ribosomal RNA
Source: RNAcentral